RNAcentral lists this ribosomal RNA (112 nucleotides) under Caerostris darwini. The record is from RNAcentral. Lineage: Eukaryota; Metazoa; Arthropoda; Arachnida; Araneae; Araneidae.
AACGGCCGUACCAUGCUGAAUAUACCGGUUCUCGUUAGUUCACCGAAGUCAAGACUCAUUGGGCGCGGUCAGUACUUGGGUGGGUGACCACCUGGGAACACCGCGUGCCGUU